CAUCCGGUCGAUCCUGCCGGAGCGCGACGCUCUCCCCAAGGACGAAGCCAUGCAUGCCCGCUCACCCGGGACGCGGCGGACGGCUCAGGACGACGGUUGCACCCCCCGCGGCGGUCCCUGCUAGCCGGACACCGCUGGCAACCCGGCGCCAAGACGUGCGCGCAAGGGCGGGCGCCCGCGGGCGAGCAGCGUGACGCAGCGACGGCCCG
RNAcentral lists this ribosomal RNA (209 nucleotides) under Giardia duodenalis. Its description in RNAcentral is "Giardia intestinalis partial small subunit ribosomal RNA". Lineage: Eukaryota; Fornicata; Diplomonadida; Hexamitidae. The record is from RNAcentral.